GAUGAACGCUAGCUACAGGCUUAACACAUGCAAGUCGAGGGGCAGCAGGAUCUAGCAAUAGAUUGCUGGCGACCGGCGCACGGGUGAGUAACACGUAUCCAACCUGCCGAUAACUCGGGGAUAGCCUUUCGAAAGAAAGAUUAAUACCCGAUGGUAUAAUCAGACCGCAUGGUCUUGUUAUUAAAGAAUUUCGGUUAUCGAUGGGGAUGCGUUCCAUUAGGCAGUUGGCGGGGUAACGGCCCACCAAACCUACGAUGGAUAGGGGUUCUGAGAGGAAGGUCCCCCACAUUGGACUGAGACACGGUCCAA
Molecule: ribosomal RNA, 309 nt
Filed under: uncultured bacterium
Lineage: Bacteria
Description: bacterial SSU rRNA
Rfam family: Bacterial small subunit ribosomal RNA
Source: RNAcentral